Non-coding RNA from Danio rerio (zebrafish), 4163 nucleotides. The record is from RefSeq and is a predicted model, not a curated record. Lineage: Eukaryota; Metazoa; Chordata; Actinopteri; Cypriniformes; Danionidae.
AAUAAGAUAAUAAAAUAUAUAAAAUAAGAGUUUUGAUAUUUUUCCUAUUAAAAGCUUGUAUCUUCUGUAGUUACAUUGUGUGCUAAGUCCGAUGGAAAGUAAAGAGUUCUGCUUUCUAGGUUGAUUUGGCUUGGAACUAUAUUGUCAUUCCAGCGUAAUAAUCAAGGAACUUUGUUGCUGUACCAUUGCUGCAGCAGGUGCAAUUAUAUUACGCAGCUAGAUAUCUAGCUGGGGACUAUUUUUAUGUAAAUAAGAUAGAAAUAGCUUUCUUAUUUUUAACUCAGUUACUGUCAAAGUAGUUAAAGCAACUGAGUUAAACUGAGUUACUGUUAAAGUAACUGUAACUCAGUUUAACUCAGUUACUUUAACUCAGUUUCUUUUAACAGUAACUCAGUUUAACUCAGUUACUUUAACAGUAACUCAGUUUAACUUAGUUACUUUAUCUCAGUUACUUUAACUCAGUUACUUUAACGGUACCACAGUUUAACUCCGUUACUUUAACGGUACCACAGUUUAACUCAGUUACUUUAACUCAGUUACUUUAACUCAGUUACUUUAAAUGUAACUCAGUGUAACUCAGUUACUUUAACUUAGUUCCUUUACAGUAACUCAGUUUAACUCAGUUACUUUAACUCAGUUACUUUAACGGGAACUAAGUUUAACUCAGUUACUUUAACUCAGUUACUUUAACGGUACCACAGUUUAACUCAGUUACUUUAACUCAGUUUCUUUUUACAGUAACUCAGUUUAACUCAGUUACUUUGACUCAGUUAUUUUAACAGUACCUCAGUUUAACUUUUAGUUACUUUAACUCAGUUAAUUUAAAGGUAACUCAGUUUAACUCAGUUACUUUAACAGUAACUCAGUUUAACUUAGUUACUUUAUCUCAGUUACUUUAACUCAGUUACUUUAACGGUACCACAGUUUAACUCAGUUACUUUAACUCAGUUACUUUAACUCAGUUACUUUAAAUGUAACUCAGUGUAACUCAGUUACUUUAACUUAGUUCCUUUAACAGUAACUCAGUUUAACUCAGUUACUUUAACUCAGUUUCUUUAACAGUAACUCAGUGUAACUCAGUUACUUUAACGGUAACUCAGUUUAACUCAGUUACUUUAACGGUAACUCAGUUUAAUAAGCUUAGACUAUUUUUAGGUGCUGCUAAUAUCAUCGUGCCUGAGUGAUAGUAUAGUUCCUAGCCAUAUCAGCCUUGAAAAUAGCACCUUUUCAUAUUAGGUUGGUCUCAGUAUAUCAUGUAACUACAGAAGAGUCAAGUUUUAAAUAAGAAAAUCAUCGAAAGUCUUUUUUGACAAUUUUUUAAGAAAGAUGCUGAUUUAGUGAUUUAUGCUAAGCUUCGCUAAAAGUGCUGCUGCCAGACCUGGAGGUAAUUUUAGGGGACUUGUAUCCACCACCUCCCCAAAAAAAGGUGGAGUGUUUCUUAAAUGCAUUAACUACUAUUUACAUGUGGAAGAUGCUAACAAUUAAUACCUUUUUAAAAGACACUAGUUCUUAUUCGUUAGAUACUGUAUUUGUUACAAGUGCUUUUACAUUAGGUAGGCAACUAGUACCUAUUUAUUAGAUACUUGUUCUCAUUAUGCACAUACUAGUGCUUCUUCAUUAGAUACUGGUACUUGUUAUUAGCUACUAUUACUUUUUUAUUUGAAACUAUCACCUAUUAGAUAAAUGCUAGGAUUUAUUAAUUAGGAGCUAGUAUUUAUUUCCGUCGUGACAAGUUGCAUUAACGAAUGUCAACACUUGAUUUUGACUAGUAUGUAUUCCACUUUUUACAGGUAAUUAUUUUAUAUACUAAUAGUUAUUUAUCCAGCAACUUAUACUCUUUGGAUACUUGUACCUAUUACAUUGAUAAUUACUUUUAUCUGUCUACUUUCUAUUUAUUUGCACUUACUCAUUACAUAGUACUUAUUGAUCAGCAGCUACGUAUUCAACGCUACUACCUAUCUGAUAUUUAAUUAAUAGUAUGUAAAAAUAUUUACUAGGCACAACUGGAAUUCAUAACUAUUCAAAACUAAAUAGUUAAUAUCUCAUUGAAGUCUCAUUGAAGUCAAUGCGGGAACAAUAUAAUAAUUACUACUCAAUGCUGAAAGAAAUACUAGCUCUUCAAGUACUGGUUUAAUAGUUACUACUGUCUGAUGAAUAAGAACUGUGUAGUAGUAUCACUAGUAGAUAUUAAAUAAGCUCUAGUACUUAAAGGGAAAGAAACUAGUGUCUUAAAAAGUAUUAAUAGCAUGAAAAUAGAUAUUAGUACAUUUUAUUGGUCUAAUGUUAAACUGUUUUCCAUAGCGAACCUUGAUGUGCUUCAAAAGGAUAGUACAGUGUCUGAAACUAGUGUGAAAUCUGGUACUGAUCCCUACAAUGAUCCCAUCUGCAAUGCUCAUUUACGUUCUCUGGUCUGUUGCUCCACCUAGUGGAGAACUGGAGUUUGUAUUUUAUUUUUGGCAGCACUCUUGAUACGAAAACCCUGACAUCUCUCUAAAAUUAGUUUAGGAGAUGGAGAUUGCAUGUAUACUUUGGUUGUGGUGCAUUAUAACAACAUUUACAACCCAUGUGUAAAAUGCUGUCCUAAAGCUUGUAGCCAAAUAUUGAAUUCAAAUAGAAGCCUCUUUUUAAAGCUGUUAUACUCUGUUGUUUUGUUUUCUGCGACACAUUUUUCUCGUAUAGGUCCUGUAGUUUAUAAAAGUACAGACAUUUAUUUGUUUUUAUUUUUGAUCUUUAUAGGCAUUAUUCUCGCUGUUUAGACCCAGUUAAAGAGACAGUUCACUCAAAAAUGUCAAUUUAGGAACAUUUCACGCAGACAAAGUCAGGUCAUCUUUGAAACACCUCUCGGGUAGUUUGCUCGGGCAUUCAGUCUGACAAUAAAAUUUAAUUUUAGGAACUCCGAUUAAAAUUAAACAACAACAACUGUGUUCUUAGUGUCUUUUACAAACGUCCGAAUCGCACAAAAUCUGCAGAAACUCCCGACUGGUUCGAGUCCCUACCCUUGAGAUUCGUCAUUCUAUAGCGAUGGCUGAUUGGCUCCUGUACUUGAAGGCGGGGCUUCAUUCACCAUAUUGACCGUUAGACUUUUCCCUAUUCAAAACGAGUGACAUGUCUUGUAUAUUCUAUAAGCUGUGUCUCAUUUCAGAGGCUGCAUCCUCCGAAGGAUGCACACUUCAAAGGGGAGUCCUUCGAAGUCCACACAGGCUGAACCGAGCGUCUUGAAAUGAGACAAUCUUGCCUACAAAGGACAAAUCUUGUCACCAGGCAACUGUUACAUCUGGUGUUAAUAAGCGCUGAUAAUUUUUUUAAAAACUUUUUAUAUAUUUAAGUGAUUUUAAAACUUAUUUUAAGCGAUCUGAAGGCAAAAUAAGGUUUAUAAAAGCUGGAAAUAUAUGUUUAAUCUAUAUAACAAUAUAUAUAUAUAUAUAUAUAUAUAUAUUGAUCCAUACACAUAAACAUGUAAGCAGUCUAUAAAAUCACUCUUUAGUAAGACAUGUCAUACUCUUUUUGUUUUUUAACAUGUGUUUAGAUAUCCACAUAAAAAAAAAACUUCUUUUAAAAACGUCCUGCCGUUAUCAGCACCCAAUAAAUCUUGGGACGUUCAAGGCCGCGAAGGAUCCACCGGUUGUGUCCUUCAGUACCUGGAAAACGAAGGAUGCAAUUCGAGGCUGCGUUUAAAGAAGCCUUCGGAUUUAUUUGAUUUAAGACAGCCUUCGUCGCACUGCGAUGACGCAGUGCACUUCGAAUGCAUCCUUCGUAGGAUGCAGCCUAUGAAAUGAGACACAACUACAAAACAGUUCUUUGUUUGUUUUUAAAGCGCCACCUUUGUUGACGUGAAUCAGUUGUCAUACCAACUUGCUACUGUAAACAGAAGCUUGCAGUGGUUUCCCCGCCUCUGAGUUCUUCUGAUUGGUCCACUGCUUUGCAAUCAACAUUAAUGAGCUAUGAGUCGUGUAACUUUGAAAAACGCGACCACAAAAGACGUGACAUGGGAGCAUAAAGAUCGAGCAUGUUCAUAUAUCAAAACAAUAGAAAAGUAACACACUAGAAUGGUAAAAUUCUUUGUGAAUGGCCCCUUAUUUACAAUCAACAGUUUCAAACCUGUAUGAGUUUCCUUUUUUUCUGUUCAAAACAAAAUAAGAUAUUUCAAAGAAUGUUGGUAACAG